Numida meleagris (helmeted guineafowl) is the source of this 1669-nucleotide long non-coding RNA. NCBI's taxonomy places the organism in Eukaryota, Metazoa, Chordata, Aves, Galliformes, Numididae. The record is from Ensembl.
CACUGGGAGGGUGAUAUGGGGUGCUGGGGGGGCACUGGGAGGGUGAUACAGGGAGCUGGGAGGGACUGGGAGCCACUGGGAGGGUGAUACAGGGCACUGGGAGGGACUGGGAGCCACUGGGAGGGUGAUACAGGGAGCUGGGAGGGCACUGGGAGAGACUAGGAGCCACUGGGAGGGCACUAGAAGCCAGUGAGAGGGACUGGGAGGCACUGGGAGCAACUUAGGAUGGGACUGGGAGGCACUGGGAUGGACUGGGAGGCACUGGGAUGGACUAGGAGGCACUGGGAGCAGCCUCCAAGGGCAGCUACGGGGAGAGCGGCGUCGACGCCUUCCUGCAGAGCUCCCGCGAGGCCGCCGUGUGCUGGAGGCGGCGACGCGCGCCAACCUGUCGGGGCACUUUGCGUGGGUGGGCUCAGACAGCUGGGGCGCCAAGCUGGGCCCGGUGCAGGGACUGGAGGGGGCGGCCCACGGCGCCAUCACCAUCCUGCCCAAGCGCGCCUCCGUGCCCGGUUUCGACGAGUACUUCACGUCGCGCUCCCUGGAGAACAACCGCCGCAACCUCUGGUUCCACGAGUUCUGGGAGGAGGACUUCAACUGCCACCUGCCCCACAGCGCGCCCCACGGCGCGCCCCACGGCGCCGCCGGCCCCAUGCGCAAGUGCACAGGUAACCCCACUGCCUGCCCCAUAGCGCCCCACUACCUGCCCCAUAGCACACGUGGCUGCCCCACAGCACCCUUAUCCACCACACAGCACUCCUGUCUGCCCCAUAGCGCCCACAUCUGCCCCAUAGCGAUCCUGUCUGCCCCAUAGCGAUCCUGUCUGCCCCAUAGUGCCCACAUCUGCCCCAUAGAGAUCCUGUCUGCAACAUAGCGCCCUCAUCUGCCCCAUAGUGAUCCUGUCUGCCCCAUAGCGAUCCUGUCUGCCCCAUAGCAAUCUUGUCUGCAACAUAGCGCCCACAUCUGCCCCAUAGCGAUCCUGUCUGCCCCAUAGCGCCCUCAUCUGCCCCAUAGCGAUCCUGUCUGCCCCAUAGCNAGGACGGACCAGUAUAGACCAGGACGGACCAGUAUAGACCAGGAUGGACCAGUAUAGACCAGGAUGGGGCAAAGGGGUUUCGAUCAGAGCUCGGCCCCGGUAUGGAUCAGUGGCAGGUCCAGGAAAGGCCCAGUGCUGCCCAUGGUGGCAUAGAACCGACCCCAGUAUGGACCAGUAUAGACCAGUAUGGACCAGUAUAGACCAGGAUGGACCAGUAUAGACCAGUAUAGACCAGGAUGGGGCGAAGGGGUUUUGAUCAGAGCGCUCAGCCCCGGUAUGGAUCAGUGGCAGGUCCUGGAAAGGCCCAGUGCUACCCAUGGUGGCAUGGAACCGACACCAGUAUGGACCAGUAUAGACCAGUAUGGACCAGUAUAGACCAGUACAGACCAGUGUAGACCCAUAUGGGAUGCAGUACUUUUGUUCAGGCCCAGUACGGACCAGUGGCAGGUCCAGGACACUCCCAUUGCCGCCCAUGGUGGCAUGCAACUGACCCCAGUAUAGACCAGUGCAGACCAGUAUAAACCAGUACAGGCCAUUAUAAACCAGUACAGACCAGUAUGGGUGUGGGGCUUUUGUUCGGGGCACUCAGCCCCAGUACAGAUCAGUGGCAGGUCCAGGAAAGGCCCAGUGCUGCCU